This 3007-nucleotide ribosomal RNA is filed under the name Salmonella enterica subsp. enterica serovar Typhimurium. Its description in RNAcentral is "23S ribosomal RNA". It matches the Rfam family "Bacterial large subunit ribosomal RNA". RNAcentral also lists the same sequence under 1 other name. The record is from RNAcentral. Lineage: Bacteria; Pseudomonadati; Pseudomonadota; Gammaproteobacteria; Enterobacterales; Enterobacteriaceae.
GGUUAAGCGACUAAGCGUACACGGUGGAUGCCCUGGCAGUCAGAGGCGAUGAAGGGCGUGCUAAUCUGCGAUAAGCGCCGGUAAGGUGAUAUGAACCGUUAUAACCGGCGAUACCCGAAUGGGGAAACCCAGUGUGACUCGUCACACUAUCAUUAACUGAAUCCAUAGGUUAAUGAGGCGAACCGGGGGAACUGAAACAUCUAAGUACCCCGAGGAAAAGAAAUCAACCGAGAUUCCCCCAGUAGCGGCGAGCGAACGGGGAGGAGCCCAGAGCCUGAAUCAGCAUGUGUGUUAGUGGAAGCGUCUGGAAAGGCGCGCGAUACAGGGUGACAGCCCCGUACACAAAAGCGCAUGUGCUGUGAGCUCGAUGAGUAGGGCGGGACACGUGGUAUCCUGUCUGAAUAUGGGGGGACCAUCCUCCAAGGCUAAAUACUCCUGACUGACCGAUAGUGAACCAGUACCGUGAGGGAAAGGCGAAAAGAACCCCGGGAGGGGAGUGAAAAAGAACCUGAAACCGUGUACGUACAAGCAGUGGGAGCCCCACCACCAAAGCAUUCUCUGGUGUUGAAGGCCCUGCAAAGCAGCAUCGCGGUGGCGGAGCGUCGUUUGCGACGCCCAACACACAAAACAAGCGGUGAAUGCUUUGGGGUGGGGUGACUGCGUACCUUUUGUAUAAUGGGUCAGCGACUUAUAUUCUGUAGCAAGGUUAACCGAAUAGGGGAGCCGGAGGGAAACCGAGUCUUAAUUGGGCGUUAAGUUGCAGGGUAUAGACCCGAAACCCGGUGAUCUAGCCAUGGGCAGGUUGAAGGUUGGGUAACACUAACUGGAGGACCGAACCGACUAAUGUUGAAAAAUUAGCGGAUGACCUGUGGCUGGGGGUGAAAGGCCAAUCAAACCGGGAGAUAGCUGGUUCUCCCCGAAAGCUAUUUAGGUAGCGCCUCGUGAAUUCAUCUCCGGGGGUAGAGCACUGUUUCGGCUAGGGGGCCAUCCCGGCUUACCAACCCGAUGCAAACUGCGAAUACCGGAGAAUGUUAUCACGGGAGACACACGGCGGGUGCUAACGUCCGUCGUGAAGAGGGAAACAACCCAGACCGCCAGCUAAGGUCCCAAAGUCAUGGUUAAGUGGGAAACGAUGUGGGAAGGCCCAGACAGCCAGGAUGUUGGCUUAGAAGCAGCCAUCAUUUAAAGAAAGCGUAAUAGCUCACUGGUCGAGUCGGCCUGCGCGGAAGAUGUAACGGGGCUAAACCAUGCACCGAAGCUGCGGCAGCGACGCUGAUGCGUUGUUGGGUAGGGGAGCGUUCUGUAAGCCUGCGAAGGUGACCUGUGAGGGUUGCUGGAGGUAUCAGAAGUGCGAAUGCUGACAUAAGUAACGAUAAAGCGGGUGAAAAGCCCGCUCGCCGGAAGACCAAGGGUUCCUGUCCAACGUUAAUCGGGGCAGGGUGAGUCGACCCCUAAGGCGAGGCCGAAAGGCGUAGUCGAUGGGAAACGGGUUAAUAUUCCCGUACUUGGUGUUACUGCGAAGGGGGGACGGAGAAGGCUAUGUUGGCCGGGCGACGGUUGUCCCGGUUUAAGCGUGUAGGUGUGUGUUCCAGGUAAAUCCGGUUCACUUUAACACUGAGGCGUGAUGACGAGGCACUACGGUGCUGAAGCAACAAAUGCCCUGCUUCCAGGAAAAGCCUCUAAGCAUCAGGUAACAUCAAAUCGUACCCCAAACCGACACAGGUGGUCAGGUAGAGAAUACCAAGGCGCUUGAGAGAACUCGGGUGAAGGAACUAGGCAAAAUGGUGCCGUAACUUCGGGAGAAGGCACGCUGACACGUAGGUGAAGUGAUUUACUCACGGAGCUGAAGUCAGUCGAAGAUACCAGCUGGCUGCAACUGUUUAUUAAAAACACAGCACUGUGCAAACACGAAAGUGGACGUAUACGGUGUGACGCCUGCCCGGUGCCGGAAGGUUAAUUGAUGGGGUCAGCGCAAGCGAAGCUCCUGAUCGAAGCCCCGGUAAACGGCGGCCGUAACUAUAACGGUCCUAAGGUAGCGAAAUUCCUUGUCGGGUAAGUUCCGACCUGCACGAAUGGCGUAAUGAUGGCCAGGCUGUCUCCACCCGAGACUCAGUGAAAUUGAACUCGCUGUGAAGAUGCAGUGUACCCGCGGCAAGACGGAAAGACCCCGUGAACCUUUACUAUAGCUUGACACUGAACAUUGAGCCUUGAUGUGUAGGAUAGGUGGGAGGCUUUGAAGUGUGGACGCCAGUCUGCAUGGAGCCGACCUUGAAAUACCACCCUUUAAUGUUUGAUGUUCUAACGUGGACCCGUAAUCCGGGUUGCGGACAGUGUCUGGUGGGUAGUUUGACUGGGGCGGUCUCCUCCUAAAGAGUAACGGAGGAGCACGAAGGUUGGCUAAUCCUGGUCGGACAUCAGGAGGUUAGUGCAAUGGCAUAAGCCAGCUUGACUGCGAGCGUGACGGCGCGAGCAGGUGCGAAAGCAGGUCAUAGUGAUCCGGUGGUUCUGAAUGGAAGGGCCAUCGCUCAACGGAUAAAAGGUACUCCGGGGAUAACAGGCUGAUACCGCCCAAGAGUUCAUAUCGACGGCGGUGUUUGGCACCUCGAUGUCGGCUCAUCACAUCCUGGGGCUGAAGUAGGUCCCAAGGGUAUGGCUGUUCGCCAUUUAAAGUGGUACGCGAGCUGGGUUUAGAACGUCGUGAGACAGUUCGGUCCCUAUCUGCCGUGGGCGCUGGAGAACUGAGGGGGGCUGCUCCUAGUACGAGAGGACCGGAGUGGACGCAUCACUGGUGUUCGGGUUGUCAUGCCAAUGGCACUGCCCGGUAGCUAAAUGCGGAAGAGAUAAGUGCUGAAAGCAUCUAAGCACGAAACUUGCCCCGAGAUGAGUUCUCCCUGAGACUUUAGGUCUCCUGAAGGAACGUUGAAGACGACGACGUUGAUAGGCCGGGUGUGUAAGCGCAGCGAUGCGUUGAGCUAACCGGUACUAAUGAACCGUGAGGCUUAACCUU